GCAGGGUAGAGCUCAGUGGUACAGUAUGUGCCUAGCAUGCAUAAAGUCCUGGGUUCAAUCCCCAAUCCCUCCA
Camelus ferus (Wild Bactrian camel) is the source of this 73-nucleotide non-coding RNA. Lineage: Eukaryota; Metazoa; Chordata; Mammalia; Artiodactyla; Camelidae. The record is from Rfam.